GGCUUAAGCUUAGUAGGCACAUACACGAUGAAAUAAUUAAAAAAUGAAUUAUGCAAAAAAAAAAAGCUNAAGCAAGCUUAGUAGGCUACCUUCGCCUGAAUACUGUGUGCAUGGAAUAAUGGAAUAGGGCCUCGGUUCUAUUUUGUUGGUUUUCGGAGCCCCGAGGUAAUGAUUAAUAGGGACAGAUGGGGGCAUUCGUAUUGCGACGUUAGAGGUGAAAUUCUUGGAUCGUCGCAAGACGGGCAGACAGCGAAAGCCUUUGCCCAAAAUGUUUUCAUUAAUCGAAAAAAAAAAGCUUAAGCC
This 303-nucleotide ribosomal RNA is filed under the name Melipona scutellaris. RNAcentral describes it as "partial 18S ribosomal RNA". It matches the Rfam family "Eukaryotic small subunit ribosomal RNA", at positions 707 to 978 of the family's 1831-position model. The record is from RNAcentral. Lineage: Eukaryota; Metazoa; Arthropoda; Insecta; Hymenoptera; Apidae.